Molecule: ribosomal RNA, 428 nt
Filed under: uncultured bacterium
Lineage: Bacteria
Description: partial 16S ribosomal RNA
Rfam family: Bacterial small subunit ribosomal RNA
Source: RNAcentral
GUGGGGAAUAUUGGGCAAUGGGCGCAAGCCUGACCCAGCAACGCCGCGUGAGGGAAGAAGGCUUUCGGGUUGUAAACCUCUGUCCUUGGUGACGAAACAAAUGACGGUAGCCAAGGAGGAAGCCCCGGCUAACUACGUGCCAGCAGCCGCGGUAAUACGUAGGGGGCGAGCGUUGUCCGGAAUUACUGGGCGUAAAGGGUGCGUAGGUGGCCUUUUAAGUUGGAUGUGAAAUACCCGGGCUUAACUUGGGGGGUGCAUCCAAAACUGGGAGGCUAGAGUGCAGGAGAGGAAAGCGGAAUUCCUAGUGUAGCGGUGAAAUGCGUAGAUAUUAGGAGGAACACCAGUGGCGAAGGCGGCUUUCUGGACUGUAACUGACACUGAGGCACGAAAGCGUGGGGAGCAAACAGGAUUAGAUACCCGUGUAGUCC